UGCAGCGACGCCGCGUGAGCGAUGAAGCCUUCGGGUGUAAAGCUCUUCGACGGGAACGAUAAUGACGGUACCCGGAGAAGAAGCUGCGGCUAACUACGUGCCAGCAGCCGCGGUAAUACGUAGGCAGCAAGCGUUGUUCGGAAUUACUGGGCGUAAAGAGUGUGUAGGCGGUGCUCUAAGUUCGGUGUGAAAUCUCCCGGCUCAACUGGGAGGGUGCGCCGAAAACUGGGGUGCUGGAGCGCGGGAGAGGAAAGCGGAAUUCCUGGUGUAGCGGUGAAAUGCGUAGAUAUCAGGAGGAACACCGGCGGUGUAGACGGCUUUCUGGACCGUAGCUGACGCUGAGACACGAAAGCGUGGGUAGCAAACAGGAUUAGAUACCCUGGUAGUCCACGCCCUAAACGAUGCAUACUUGGUGUCGGCCAUUCAGUUGGUCGGUGCCGGAGCUAACGCGUUAAGUAUGCCGCCUGGGGAGUACGGUCGCAAGGCUG
This 488-nucleotide ribosomal RNA is filed under the name uncultured Acidobacteriota bacterium. RNAcentral describes it as "bacterial SSU rRNA". It matches the Rfam family "Bacterial small subunit ribosomal RNA", at positions 387 to 896 of the family's 1533-position model. The record is from RNAcentral. Lineage: Bacteria; Pseudomonadati; Acidobacteriota.